GCCAAAAAUCUAGCCCCCAUCCCCACCAAACAACCCUUCUAAUUAGUUAAACAAAACAAAUCAUUUUCCCAAUUAAGUAUAGGUGAUAAAAAAAUUAACCGGAGCUAUAAUGCCAGUACCGCAAGGGAAAGCUGAAAUAUAAAUGAAAUAAACGCUUAAGCAUAAAAAAGUAGAGACUCCCCCUUGUACCUUUUGCAUCAUGGUUUAACUAGUCCUUAUCAAGCAUAGAGAACUUAAGUUUGACCCCCCGAAACUAAGUGAGCUACUCCAAGGCAGCUUUGUGAGCCAACCCGUCUCUGUUGCAAAAGAGUGGGAAGACCUUCGAGUAGGGGUGAUAGACCAAACGAACUUAGUGAUAGCUGGUUACCCGAUAAAAGAAUUUUAGUUCUACCUAAAGCCCCACAAAGUCCCAUAAACUAAUACCUUUGCUUUAGAGUUAUUCAAAUGAGGUACAGCCUAUUUGAAUAAGGAAACAACCUAAACUAAUGGGUUAAUUUUUAUACAGUGCACUAAGUGGGCCUAAAAGCAGCCACCUUUAACAAUAGCGUCAAAGCUUUCUACACAAGUAUAUUCAAUACCACAACCCAACCCAAACCCUUUAUCCUCAUCGAGUAAUUCCAUAUACCUAUGGAACAUAAAAUGUUAAAACUAGUAACAAGAAGAAACCCUUCUCUUAAAUGUAAGUGUAAGACAGAAAGGAUAAACCGCUGUCAAUUAACGCUAAUGAUUUAUAAUUAGUGACACCACAAGAAAGCCCUAAUAAAGCUAGCGUUAAACUAACACAAGAGCAUUUCAAGAAAGAUUAAAAAAGAAAGAAGGAACUCGGCAAACACCAACCCCGCCUGUUUACCAAAAACAUCGCCUCUUGACACAUAUAAGAGGUCCAGCCUGCCCAGUGACCUAGUUCAACGGCCGCGGUAUCCUA
Molecule: ribosomal RNA, 925 nt
Filed under: Boana balzani (Yungas treefrog)
Lineage: Eukaryota; Metazoa; Chordata; Amphibia; Anura; Hylidae
Description: partial 16S ribosomal RNA
Rfam family: Bacterial large subunit ribosomal RNA (bases 168-925)
Source: RNAcentral